GAUGAACGCUGGCGGCGUGCCUAAUACAUGCAAGUCGAGCGAACGGACGAGGAGCUUGCUCCUCUGAGGUUAGCGGCGGACGGGUGAGUAACACGUGGAUAACCUACCUAUAAGACUGGGAUAACUUCGGGAAACCGGAGAUAAUACCGGAUAAUAUAUUGAACCGCAUGGUUCAAUAGUGAAAGACGGUUUUGCUGUCACUUAUAGCUGGAUCCGCGCUGCAUUAGCUGGGUGGUAAGGUAACGGCUUAGCAAUGCAACGAUGCCGAGCCGACCCGGAGGGGGUGAUCGGCCACACUGAAACUGGGACACGGUCCAGACUCCUAGGGAAGGCAGCAGAGGGAAAUUUUCCGCAAUGGGGGAAGCCUUGACGAGGCAACGCCGCUGGGGGAAGAAAGGCCUCCGGAUCGAAAACCCCUUUUAUUGGGAAGAAAAAAAGCUGUAUGAAACUAUGCACUUCUGAAGGUACCCAAAUAAUAAGCCCCCGCUAAAUUAGUG
Molecule: ribosomal RNA, 497 nt
Filed under: uncultured bacterium
Lineage: Bacteria
Description: partial 16S ribosomal RNA
Rfam family: Bacterial small subunit ribosomal RNA
Source: RNAcentral